Molecule: transfer RNA, 70 nt
Filed under: Marmota monax (woodchuck)
Lineage: Eukaryota; Metazoa; Chordata; Mammalia; Rodentia; Sciuridae
Description: tRNA.Undet
Source: RNAcentral
GGGGUUGUAGCUCAGGGGUAGAGUGCUCACCUAGACGUGCGAGAUCCUGGGUUCGAUCCUCAGCACCACA